CUGAGGGAAAGUUGCAAAGCACUUUGAAGAGAGAGUUAAAUAGGACGUGAAACCGGUGAGGUGGAAACGGAUAGAGCCAGCGUAUCUGUUCUUGCAUUCAUCUACGUGGUAUUCGCGCGCCCCAGCUCUAGCGACUCCAGAUUGGGACGGAGUUGGGGUUGUACACCGCCCGUGGUGCAUUUGCAGGCGUGUGCGCUGAGCUGUUCGAGGUGUUGGAAUGAACUUGGUUUUGAGGCCAGCUUGCUGGUACCCGGACCGGGGAAGUGCCAUUCGCCUUGGGCUUUUUGUUGGAUAUGGCUUACGGGCUCGUAUGGGCGCCGAGCUGAUCGUCGGCGGCGGUCGCAUGCGACACGUGCUGUGCGUGCCAGUUCGGUCCUGUGCGAGCUCACAUGUCCCAGGGCUCAGUGUAAUAGCUGUUCAUCUAUCCGACCCGUCUUGAAACACGGACCAAGGAGUUUAUCGUGUGCGCAAGUCAUUGGGUGUUGAAAACCCAGAGGCGCAAUGAAAGUGAAGGCAUCCCUCGCGGAGCCGACGUGCGAGCACGGGCACUGCGGUGUCCGAGUGCAGCAUGGCCCCAUCCUGACUGCUUGCAGUGGGGUGGAGGAAGAGCGUACGCGGUGAGACCCGAAAGAUGGUGAACUAUUCCUGAGCAGGAUGAAGCCAGAGGAAACUCUGGUGGAAGUCCGAAGCGAUUCUGACGUGCAAAUCGAUCGUCUGACUUGGGUAUAGGGGCGAAAGACUAAUCGAACCAUCUAGUA
RNAcentral lists this ribosomal RNA (758 nucleotides) under Pratylenchus thornei. RNAcentral's name for it is "eukaryotic LSU rRNA". It matches the Rfam family "Eukaryotic large subunit ribosomal RNA", at positions 353 to 949 of the family's 3401-position model. Lineage: Eukaryota; Metazoa; Nematoda; Chromadorea; Rhabditida; Pratylenchidae. The record is from RNAcentral.